Molecule: ribosomal RNA, 274 nt
Filed under: uncultured bacterium
Lineage: Bacteria
Description: partial 16S ribosomal RNA
Rfam family: Bacterial small subunit ribosomal RNA
Source: RNAcentral
AUACGGAGGAUGCGAGCGUUAUCCGGAUUUAUUAGGUUUAAAGGGUGUGUAGGCGGUAUUUUAAGUCAGUGGUGAAAUCUUUCAGCUUAACUGAGAAACUGCCAUUGAUACUGGAAUACUUGAGUAUAGUUGAGGUAGGCGGAAUAUGUAAUGUAGCGGUGAAAUGCAUAGAUAUUACAUAGAACACCGAUUGCGAAGGCAGCUUACUAAACUAUUACUGACGCUGAUGCACGAAAGCGUGGGGAGCGAACAGAAUUAGAAACCCUGGUAGUCC